This 460-nucleotide ribosomal RNA is filed under the name uncultured bacterium. Its description in RNAcentral is "partial 16S ribosomal RNA". It matches the Rfam family "Bacterial small subunit ribosomal RNA", at positions 338 to 795 of the family's 1533-position model. The record is from RNAcentral.
CCUACGGGUGACUGCAGUGAGGAAUAUUUGUCAAUGUACGAGAGUCUGAACCAGCCAAGUAGCGUGAAGGAUGACUGCCCUAUGGGUUGUAAACUUCUUUUAUAUGGGAAUAAAAUGUUCCACGUGUGGGAUUUUGUAUGUACCAUAUGAAUAAGGAUCUGCUAACUCCGUGCCAGCAGCCGCGGUAAUACGGAGGAUCCGGGCGUUAUCCGGAUUUAUUUGGUUUAAAGGGAGCGUAGGUGGAUUGUUAAGUCAGUUGUGAAAGUUUGCGGCUCAACCGUAAAAUUGCAGUUGAAACUGGCAGUCUUGAGUACAGUAGAGGUGUGCGGAAUUCGGGGUGUAGCGGUGAAAUGCUUAGAUAUCACGAAGAACUCCGAUUGCGAAGGCAGUUCACUGGACUGCAACUGACACUGAGGCUCGAAAGUGUGGGUAUCAAACAGGAUUAGAUACCCCAGUAGUC